Molecule: ribosomal RNA, 251 nt
Filed under: uncultured bacterium
Lineage: Bacteria
Description: partial 16S ribosomal RNA
Rfam family: Bacterial small subunit ribosomal RNA
Source: RNAcentral
ACGUAGGUGGCAAGCGUUGUCCGGAAUUACUGGGUGUAAAGGGAGCGCAGGCGGGUGAUCAAGUCAGCUGUGAAAACUAUGGGCUUAACCCGUAGACUGCAGUUGAAACUGUUCAUCUUGAGUGAAGUAGAGGUUGGCGGAAUUCCGAGUGUAGCGGUGAAAUGCGUAGAUAUUCGGAGGAACACCGGUGGCGAAGGCGGCCAACUGGGCUUUAACUGACGCUGAGGCUCGAAAGUGUGGGGAGCAAACAG